GACGAACGCUGGCGGCGUGCUUAACACAUGCAAGUCGAACGGAAAGGCCCUGCGUUUGUGGGGUGCUCGAUUGGCGAACGGGUGAGUAACACGUGAGUAACCUGCCCUUGACUUUGGGAUAACUUCAGGAAACUGGGGCUAAUACCGUAUAGGAUCUCCUGUACGGGGGAGGGGAGGGGAACUUUUCGGCGGGUGGGGUUGGUGGCGCGGCUGUCGGGCUUGUUGGUGGGGGAGGGGAUGACCAAGGCUGGGACGGGUAGCCGGCAGGAGAGGGUGACCGGGCACAUUGGGCCUGCGAUACGGCCCAGUCUCCUACGGGAGGCAGCAGUGGGGAAUAUUGCCCAAUGGGCGGGAGCCUGAUGCAGAAACGCCGCGUGCGUGAUGACGGCCUUCGGGUUGUGAAACGCUUUCGCCUGUGACGAAGCGUGAGUGACGGUAAUGGGUAAAGAAGCACCGGCUAACUACGUG
Molecule: ribosomal RNA, 468 nt
Filed under: uncultured bacterium
Lineage: Bacteria
Description: partial 16S ribosomal RNA
Rfam family: Bacterial small subunit ribosomal RNA
Source: RNAcentral